UAUCCACUAAUUUUGGGGGGGAUGGCUAGUUUCUUGUGACGGCGCGUAUGCGAAAAUAUUAUACCGAGAAAGACAAAGAUUACCUGGGGAACUGAAACAUCUAAGUACCUAGCGAAAAAUAAAUUAGACUCCGUAAGUAGUGGCGAGCGAACGCGGAAACUACAAGACGGAUUUGGAACGUCCGGCCAAAGAAGGUGAAAGCCCUGCAAAUAAACUGUAUUAAGUAAGACCGUGGGUCUGAAUAAGGGGACACCGCUCUCCUAACAAUUAAACACAAGAAUACGAUAGUGUACUAGUACUGUAAAGGAAAGCUGAAAGACAACUCAUGAUCUGGGAGUUAAAAGAUGCUGAAACCCCAAAAUGUUUCAGCCAUAUUGGCGUACCUUUUGUAUAAUGGGCUAACAACUUAAUGUGUGUAGCAAGCGUAAUGCAAAGGACGCGUAGCGAAAGCGAGUUUUAAUUGAGCGAAAAGUUACAUGCGUUAGACCCGAAACCGAGUGAUCUAGUCGUGGGCAGGUUAAAGGGUUGACUGAAGGACCGAACCCUAGGAUGUGGCAAAAUCCAGGGAUGACCCGCGGCUAGGGGUGAAAGGCCAAUCAAACUCGGAGAUAGCUGGUUUUCUGCGAAAUCUAUUUAAGUAGAGCGUUAUCAAUAAAAUGGGGGUAGGGCUCUGGACUCUUGAUGGGGGCGCAAGCUUUACUGACAGUGUUUAAACCUUGAAUACCAUGAUAGCAGACAGGCUGCGGGUGAUAAGAUCCGUAGCCAAGAGGGAUACAGCCCAGACUGUAGGAUAAGGUUCUUAACGAUAACUAAGAUAAAGGCAGCUACUGCUUAGACAACCCUAAUGGUGGGCUUAGAAGCAGCCAUCCAUUAAAGAGGUCGUUAAAGAUCAUGGGACUAGCUACUAGUUGCCGAAAAUUUUGAAGUAGAGUUUUCGUCCGAAGCCACAGUGUUUAAGGUAGCAGAAUGCUCGUAAAGGACCAUAUAAAAACCACAAUUGUGUGUGUUUAUUGUAAUCGGUUUGAAAAAAUCGGUGAACUUUUGCGAGGUAACAAUGUUAGCAUGAGUAACUAAAAAUAUUGUGCGAACCAAUAUCACCGAAAGCCCGAGGUUUUCCCCAAAAGGACAAUCCUAGGGGUGUGAAACGGUUCCUAAGAGUAGAUUCGAAAGAAUCUUCUCGAUGGCAUACUUGAUCCGACAGCGGUGAGAGUUUGAAAAUUAAAAUUACCGUACCAAACCAAUGCAGGUGGGCGGGUUGGGUAUACUCAGGUGAUCGAGGCAACGGCGUUUAAGGAACUCGGCAAAUUGACUCUGUAACUUUGGGAGGAGGAGUGCUCUUUUUUUAGAGUGUAAUAAACAAGGGGGGAGCGACUGUUUACUAAAAACACAGGACUCUGCGAAAUAGCAAUAUGACGUAUAGGGUCUGACGCCUGCCCGGUGCCAUUGAGCAAAAGCAAGGUGUGUAAGCACCAAGUAUAAGCUUCGGUAAACGGCGGCUGUAACUCUGACGGUCCUAAGGUAGCGAAAUUCCUUGGCGGGUAAGUUCCGUCCUGCAUGAAUGGCGUAACGACUCCCCUACUGUCUCAAGCGCCGGCUCGGUGAAAUUGAAUUGCCCGUGAAGAUGCGGGCAUGUCGUGGCUAGACGGAAAGACCCUGUGCACCUUUACUAUAACCUUGCGUUGCUCUAGGCUUGUGAUUGCUCAGAAAAGGCGGGAGUUUGUGACAACAACUAAACACUAGUGAGAUACCGCCCUUUUGCAUGUCUAGGGUUUUUUGUAAGGCUGGUAGUUUGGCUGGGGUGGCCGCCUCCUAAAGAGUAACGGGGGUGCGCAAUGGUGAGCUCAACCCGACUUUCGGGGUGAGAGCGUAAUGGUAUAAGCUCGCCUGACUGAAAGAUAUACAAAUCGAUCAGGAACGCAAGUUGGUCAUAGUGACCCGACGGUGCUGUGCGGAAAGGCCGUCGAUCAACGGAUAAAAGGUACGCCAGGGAUAACAGGCUAAUAACCCCUAAGAGACCAAAUCGCCGGGGUUGUUUGGCACCUCGAUGUCGGCUCAUCACAUCCUGGAGCUGUAGGCGGUUCCAAGGGUUCGGCUGUUCGCCGAUUAAAGUGGUACGUGAGCUGGGUUUAGAACGUUGUGAAACAGUUCGGUCCCUAUCUACCACGACAAGGAUUGCGGGUGGCCACCCUAGUACGGGAGGAUCGGGUGGCACUGGCCAAUGGUGACCAGUUGUUUUUCCAUGUAAAAUAAGCAUCGCUGGAUAGCUACGCCAGGAGGUAUAACUGCUGAAUGCAUAUAAAGCGGGAAGACCGCCCCAAAAUAUCUUAUAAAAGUAGAACAUGACUACAUAGGCGAGAUUGUUUUAGGCUGUAAGGUCGUGCAAUCCGUACUAAUUGCAUUAAGGAUACAACAUUCUGUUCAAGUUUGACGGGAUA
RNAcentral lists this ribosomal RNA (2435 nucleotides) under Bigelowiella natans. RNAcentral describes it as "large subunit ribosomal RNA". It matches the Rfam family "Bacterial large subunit ribosomal RNA". The record is from RNAcentral. Lineage: Eukaryota; Cercozoa; Chlorarachniophyceae.